This 253-nucleotide ribosomal RNA is filed under the name uncultured bacterium. Its description in RNAcentral is "partial 16S ribosomal RNA". It matches the Rfam family "Bacterial small subunit ribosomal RNA", at positions 524 to 776 of the family's 1533-position model. The record is from RNAcentral.
UACGUAGGGCGCAAGCGUUGUCCGGAAUUAUUGGGCGUAAAGAGCUCGUAGGCGGCUUGUCACGUCGGGUGUGAAAGCCCGGGGCCUAACCCCGGGUCUGCAUUCGAUACGGGCAGGCUAGAGUGUGGUAGGGGAGAUCGGAAUUCCUGGUGUAGCGGUGAAAUGCGCAGAUAUCAGGAGGAACACCGGUGGCGAAGGCGGAUCUCUGGGCCAUUACUGACGCUGAGGAGCGAAAGCGUGGGGAGCGAACAGG